RNAcentral lists this ribosomal RNA (288 nucleotides) under uncultured bacterium. RNAcentral's name for it is "partial 16S ribosomal RNA". It matches the Rfam family "Bacterial small subunit ribosomal RNA", at positions 333 to 613 of the family's 1533-position model. The record is from RNAcentral.
CGAGGCCUACGGGACGCAGCAGUGGGGAAUAUUGCGCAAUGGGCGAAAGCCUGACGCAGCGACGCCGCGUGAGGGAUGAAGGUCUUCGGAUCGUAAACCUCUGUCAGCAGGGAAGAACGGUCACUGUGCUAAUCAGCAGUGAAUUGACGGUACCUGCAAAGGAAGCACCGGCUAACUCCGUGCCAGCAGCCGCGGUAAUACGGAGGGUGCGAGCGUUAAUUGGAAUUACUGGGCGUAAAGCUCUCGUAGGCGGUAUGUCAAGUCAAGGGUGAAAUACCCCCGCUCAAC